This 406-nucleotide ribosomal RNA is filed under the name uncultured bacterium. RNAcentral describes it as "partial 16S ribosomal RNA". It matches the Rfam family "Bacterial small subunit ribosomal RNA", at positions 30 to 526 of the family's 1533-position model. The record is from RNAcentral.
AUUGAAUGCUGGCGGCAGGCCUAACACAUGCAAGUCGAGCGUGCGGCGGACGGGUGAGAAUUGUCUGUGAAACUGCUGGCCUGAGGGGGGUAACUACUGGAAACGGCAGCUACUACCGCAUACCAUCAGCUUUGCCCAGAUGGGUUUAGCUAGUCGGUGGGGUAACGGCUCACCUAGGCGACGAGCCCUAGCUGGUCUGCGAGGAUGACCAGACACACGGGAUCUGAGACACGGUCCAGAGUCCUACGAGAGGCAGCAGUGGGGAAUAUUGCACAAUGGGCGCAAGCCUGAUGCAGCCAUGCGGCGUGGGUGAAGAAGGCCUUCGGGUUGUAAAGCACUUUCAGCGGGGAGGCGUUACCCGCAGAAGAAGCACCGGCUAACUCCGUGCCAGCAGCCGCGGUAAUAC